Molecule: ribosomal RNA, 407 nt
Filed under: uncultured prokaryote
Description: bacterial SSU rRNA
Rfam family: Bacterial small subunit ribosomal RNA
Source: RNAcentral
UGGGGAAUAUUGCACAAUGGGCGGAAGCCUGAUGCAGCGACGCCGCGUGAGGGAUGACGGCCUUCGGGUUGUAAACCUCUUUCAACAGGGACGAAGCGUGAGUGACGGUACCUGUAGAAGAAGCACCGGCCAACUACGUGCCAGCAGCCGCGGUAAUACGUAGGGUGCGAGCGUUGUCCGGAAUUACUGGGCGUAAAGGGCUCGUAGGCGGUUUGUCGCGUCGUCCGUGAAAACUUGGGGCUCAACCCCGAGCGUGCGGGCGAUACGGGCAGACUUGAGUACUGCAGGGGAGACUGGAAUUCCUGGUGUAGCGGUGAAAUGCGCAGAUAUCAGGAGGAACACCGGUGGCGAAGGCGGGUCUCUGGGCAGUAACUGACGCUGAUGAGCGAAAGCGUGGGUAGCGAACA